GGGGUAAGCAGGGCUGGCUUCUUUGGUUCAGAGAGGCAAAGGAGGUGAGGCUGCAACUGGAAUCACACAGGGCAGCCAUGUACGCAGGAAGCUGUUUCUGGAAAGCAGAGAAGGAAAGAGCCUUUGACCCACGCACAUUAAUCCAAGGGCCAAAGAAAAUCAAGCACUUUGCUUCAAGCAAAACUGAGAUCUCCAUGCAGAAAGAGACAGGUCUGGGUUUGAAUCCUGGCUCCACCACUCAACAGCCAUGCACCUGGACCAAGGAGCUCAGCGGAGUGGUCACUCUCGGGAUGUCUGCAGCCAUCAUCCACAGUCCUGGGGCAAUCACUUAGGCUUCAAGCCUUGGACCUCAGUCUUCUCCAGCCAGGCUCUCAGGCUGGAGUGCAGUGACACGAUCUCGGAUCAAGUGAUUCUCCUGCCUCAGCCUCCCAAGUAGCUGGGAUUACCGGCGUGCGCCACCACACCUGGCUAAUUUUGCGUGUUUUUAGUAGAGACAGAGAUUUCACCAUGUUGAUCAGGCUGGUCUUGAAUUCCUGACCUCAGGUGAUCCAGCCGUCUUGGCCUCCCAAAGUGCUGAGAUUACAGGCAUGAGCCACGUGCCCGGUCCUUUUCCCAUUUUUAAAUUGGAUUUAUUUGUAAGAGCUCUUUGUAUAUUAAGAAAAUUAUCCCUUUGUCACAGCAGUUGCUACUCUUUCUCAGUUUGCUGUUUGUUUUCUGCUGGUUUAUUAAAUAUAGAAAUUUGAAAUUUUUUUGCAGUCAAAUUUGUUAAUCUUAUCUUUUUAUAGCCUGUGAGUUUUGUGUUAGAAAGUCCUCUGCACCACUCCAAAGAUUAUGUGAAAUUCACCUGUUUUUCACUAAUUAACCUCUUGAAUCCAAUUACAGAGAUGCAAAGUGAAGUUCAGCUAGUGAUUCUUAUCCAAUACCCUGGUAGCAUCUUUAUUAUCCCAGACUGACCACAUGCAAAUAGCACCACCUCCAGGCCAGCCUGAGAAGUCUGCACUAAGCCCC
This 1008-nucleotide long non-coding RNA is filed under the name Homo sapiens (human). RNAcentral describes it as "LHRI_LNC55.2". Lineage: Eukaryota; Metazoa; Chordata; Mammalia; Primates; Hominidae. The record is from RNAcentral.